RNAcentral lists this long non-coding RNA (314 nucleotides) under Mytilus galloprovincialis (Mediterranean mussel). Lineage: Eukaryota; Metazoa; Mollusca; Bivalvia; Mytilida; Mytilidae. The record is from RNAcentral.
CUUUCCCACAUGAGAUAAACAUUUCACAUGGUCAUGGUGGCUCCAAUAAAUGAGGAUUACAAUAAAAAAAUAACUUUGUUAUGGAUUAAUCGAGCUUCCUGUAAUUCUGAAAUCAAAUGUGACAUACAAGUUCAGUUUAAUGUAAUGAUUAAUUAAUGUAAUUCUAGUUAUAGAGGCUUUCAUUAUACAUUAUACCUCCUUCAAGCCUCUCCUUAUCAGACGUCUAAAUGAUUUUGGUUUACUACUUUAACAUGCAAAUUACUAGAAAAUAAAGUGUUCAAAUAAUAGCUCUAAUAAAACUCUAUAAACACAAA